RNAcentral lists this transfer RNA (71 nucleotides) under bovine gut metagenome. It matches the Rfam family "tRNA". Rfam says of the family: Transfer RNA (tRNA) molecules are approximately 80 nucleotides in length. Their secondary structure includes four short double-helical elements and three loops (D, anti-codon, and T loops). The record is from RNAcentral.
GGGGUAUAGCUCAGCUGGUAGAGCGCAUGCUUUGCAAGCAUGAAGUCGCCGGUUCGAAUCCGACUAUCUCC